GAUACCGCCCUUAAUGAUUGCAAGUCUAUAUAAAGGAGCGUCUUUUCGUAAAA
This 53-nucleotide transfer RNA is filed under the name Phallusia fumigata. RNAcentral describes it as "transfer RNA-Cys". The record is from RNAcentral. Lineage: Eukaryota; Metazoa; Chordata; Ascidiacea; Phlebobranchia; Ascidiidae.